RNAcentral lists this unclassified non-coding RNA (328 nucleotides) under uncultured fungus. RNAcentral's name for it is "sequence contains 5.8S rRNA gene". The record is from RNAcentral. Lineage: Eukaryota; Fungi.
GAACGCACCUUGCACUCCUUGGUAUUCCGAGGAGUACGCCUGUUCGAGUGUUAUGAAGCUCUCAAAACGCAAUUGGCUUAAAACCUGAUUGUUGUUUUGGAUUUGAACUUUGCCGUGUUACAACGGCUGGUUUUAAAAGCAUUAGCUGGUACUAGAACGAAUUGGUUCUACUCAACGUGAUAAUUAUCUGAUCGUUGAGGACAUUCCUUUCACGAGGAAUGGCCAUAGUAAAUUCAAUGGACUGCUUCUAACUUGGCUUUAAUUCUUAAUUGGAUUAACCACUUUUCAAAUCUGACCUCGAAUCAGGUGGGACUACCCGCUGAACUUA